This 989-nucleotide long non-coding RNA is filed under the name Homo sapiens (human). RNAcentral's name for it is "glioblastoma down-regulated RNA". Lineage: Eukaryota; Metazoa; Chordata; Mammalia; Primates; Hominidae. The record is from RNAcentral.
AACUGAAGGGCACUGACUGGGUCACUGGUGAAGUUCCCCGCAGGAACUGAGUCAGACCCCAUCUCAGGGCCCUGCACAAGAUAGGUGCCUGCUCUAAGGCGUGGACCCUCGCCACAGCCCUGGCCCGUCUUGACGGGCGAGGGUUACUGUACUUGUCCCAACCGUACAGAUGAGAAAGCUGAGACUCAGGGCCAGCAACCCGGGUCCCAGCGGAGCGCCCGGCACACGCCGACACUUCAGCACCAGUGGCGGUGGCCACCACUGUGGGCGGAGAUGGCUGCGACGCGUGCGCAGGUAAAGUCUAUGCGCGCCUUGCCUCCCACCGGCGCCUUCCCCGGCCUCUGGUUUUUGUCCCCGCCAGCGGCUCCGACUCCAUCGCGUCCUCUUCCAGUCUAGUGCUUUUUUCCAGAUCUCGAUCCCAAACUCCCUCCUGCCAGAAUCUGGACCCGAAUCCACCCAUUGCCCGUUUUCCGCUGCCGCUGGAGAGAAUCUCUGAGGUCCCCAGGAGAGCCUGCCUGCACGGAAGAGACGCCUCCUCGGUGAAAUGGCCACCAGACCCAGGCUUUCUGGAAUGCAUUCAUUUUCUGCAGUUGAAAGGGACAAUCCCGGAUCUGAAAGAAAGAGCCACAGUGACUCCAAGAGUGGAGCCAGGGCAUGCUGGACACUGCAUAGCUAUGGCCACGUGUGUCACCUCCGAGGGAGAUGUGAGAGAAACGCAGAGGGAUCGCUUGUGACUGUGCCUUCUCGAUGUAUGAUGGACUGUUCUGCUCAAAUAGCAGCAGUAGGGCUUAUGGGAGCCAUUGUACAGUGACAGGAACAUACCAGGACACUGAGAAUAGCGUCAUGUCAUAAGGACUCAGAGCAGGUGGACCCUGCUGUGAUGCACAAAGAGGACCAUGCAAGAUAUGAUAAAGAUCUAUGUCACUGAAUUUUGUUUCUGUAUUUGUAUCUCAGCUUCCCAGAAAUAAAAAAGAAUUCUAACAUUCAUA